GCCGAAGUGGUGGAAUUGGUAGACACGCNNCACGCUAUCUUGAGGGGGUAGUGACCCACGGUCGUGCGAGUUCGAGUCUCGCCUUCGGCACCA
Molecule: transfer RNA, 93 nt
Filed under: Desulfobulbaceae bacterium
Lineage: Bacteria; Pseudomonadati; Thermodesulfobacteriota; Desulfobulbia; Desulfobulbales; Desulfobulbaceae
Description: tRNA-Leu
Rfam family: tRNA
About the family: Transfer RNA (tRNA) molecules are approximately 80 nucleotides in length.
Source: RNAcentral